CCUACGGGUGGCAGCAGUGAGGAAUAUUGGUCAAUGGGCGCGAGCCUGAACCAGCCAAGUCGCGUGAGGGAGGACGGCCCUACGGGUUGUAAACCUCUUUUGCCGGGGAGCAACGGGCGCCACGUGUGGCGUCACGGAGAGUACCCGGAGAAAAAGCAUCGGCUAACUCCGUGCCAGCAGCCGCGGUAAUACGGAGGAUGCGAGCUUUAUCCGGAUUUAUUGGGUUUAAAGGGUGCGUAGGCGGUUCGUAAGGUCUGUGGUCAAUUUGAGGGGCUAAACCCCUUCCCGCCAUUGAAACUGGCGUUCUUGAGUGGAAGAGAAGUAUGCGGAAUGCGUGGUGUAGCGGUGAAAUGCAUAGAUAUCACGCAGAACCCCGAUUGCGAAGGCAGCAUGCCGGCUUCCGACUGACGCUGAAGCACGAAAGCGUGGGGAUCGAACAGGAUUAGAUACCCCAGUAGUC
Molecule: ribosomal RNA, 460 nt
Filed under: uncultured bacterium
Lineage: Bacteria
Description: partial 16S ribosomal RNA
Rfam family: Bacterial small subunit ribosomal RNA
Source: RNAcentral